UUUUGCCCCCAUCGGUCGCUGACGGGAAAUGAAUGUCUGUUUUGUUCAUUAUGACACCUGCUGAAUGAGACUUGAAGGCAAAGAUGUGACGAGAAGUUAAAACUCGCCUGUCGUCAUCAUGACGAUUGCCGGCAGUGACGCUGGACAUCCACUUCAGGGGUGGCGCUGUUUCGAAGGUUGGCCUCAUAAACAUGCCGGUGGACGGCCUGCAGGGGGAGGUCCAAUACUGGGAAGGAGCUGCGUGACGCCCUCCUCCUGUUGGAUGUACAGCUCAUAUGUCGGAAAAAACACCGCUGAUGUUGCUCGGCCAUUCUGUGAUGGAGAGUUACACAGUUAAUGCAAAGCAAA
Nerophis ophidion (straightnose pipefish) is the source of this 348-nucleotide long non-coding RNA. RefSeq lists it as uncharacterized. NCBI's taxonomy places the organism in Eukaryota, Metazoa, Chordata, Actinopteri, Syngnathiformes, Syngnathidae. The transcript is spliced from 2 exons. The record is from RefSeq and is a predicted model, not a curated record.